UUGUUCUCUCACUGAUUCCACUUCUGAUGGAGUAACAUACUCGUCUACAGGCAUUUCUUCAAUGAUCUCAUCAGUUAGAACUUCCUCUUCCGGUUUCUCUAUGACUUUUGUUACAGGUGCCUUGCCUUCCUCUUCAACAGUGACUGUUUCUGUUACUUGUUGCUUUUUACCCUUUCGUCUGAUGACUUUCUUCUUUGUUACUUUGCGAGGUUUGCCUUGUUUGGUAACUUCCUCAGUAACAGUAACCUGUUCUCUUACUGAUUCCACUUCUGAUGGAGUAACAAACUCUUCGAUAGGCAUAUCUUCAAUGAUCUCUUCAGUUAGAACUUCCU
This is a long non-coding RNA of Leptopilina boulardi, 332 nucleotides long. RefSeq lists it as uncharacterized. The transcript has 3 exons. NCBI's taxonomy places the organism in Eukaryota, Metazoa, Arthropoda, Insecta, Hymenoptera, Figitidae. The record is from RefSeq and is a predicted model, not a curated record.